GACGAACGCUGGCGGCGUGCUUAACACAUGCAAGUCGAACGGAAAGGCCUGCUUUCCCUUGUGGAUUGCGGGUACUCGAGUGGCGAACGGGUGAGUAACACGUGAGUGAUCUGCCCCCAACUUGGGUAUAAGCCUGGGAAACUGGGUCUAAUUCCCGAUAGGACUGCAGGGUGGUGCCUGUGGUGGAAAACGAUUUUCUAGUGGUUGGGGAUGAGCUCGCGGCCUAUCAGCUUGUUGGUGGGGUAAUGGCCUACCAAGGCGGCGACGGGUAGCCGGCCUGAGAGGGUGGACGGCCACAUUGGGACUGAGAUACGGCCCAGACUCCUACGGGAGGCAGCAGUGGGGAAUAUUGCACAAUGGGCGGAAGCCUGAUGCAGCGACGCCGCGUGGGGGAUGACGGCCUUCGGGUUGUAAACUCCUUUCGACCGCGAGGAAGCCACCUGGUUGGAAGGGUGGUGACGGUAGUGGUAGAAGAUGCACCGGCUAACUACGUG
This 494-nucleotide ribosomal RNA is filed under the name uncultured bacterium. Its description in RNAcentral is "partial 16S ribosomal RNA". It matches the Rfam family "Bacterial small subunit ribosomal RNA", at positions 28 to 507 of the family's 1533-position model. The record is from RNAcentral.